RNAcentral lists this ribosomal RNA (466 nucleotides) under uncultured bacterium. RNAcentral describes it as "partial 16S ribosomal RNA". It matches the Rfam family "Bacterial small subunit ribosomal RNA", at positions 28 to 507 of the family's 1533-position model. The record is from RNAcentral.
GACGAACGCUGGCGGCGUGCUUAACACAUGCAAGUCGAACGGUAAGGCUCCAGCUUGCUGGGGUACACGAGUGGCGAACGGGUGAGUAACACGUGGGUGACCUGCCCUGCACUUCGGGAUAAGCCUGGGAAACUGGGUCUAAUACCGGAUAGGACCAUGGUGUGGAUACUGUGGUGGAAAGUUUUUUCGGUGUGGGAUGGGCCCGCGGCCUAUCAGCUUGUUGGUGGGGUAAUGGCCUACCAAGGCGGCGACGGGUAGCCGGCCUGAGAGGGUGGACGGCCACAUUGGGACUGAGACACGGCCCAGACUCCUACGGGAGGCAGCAGUGGGGGAUAUUGCACAAUGGGCGGAAGCCUGAUGCAGCGACGCCGCGUGGGGGAUGACGGCCUUCGGGUUGUAAACUCCUUUCACCAUCGACGAAGGGUUUCUGACGGUAGAUGGAGAAGAAGCACCGGCUAACUACGUG